Long non-coding RNA from Maniola jurtina (meadow brown), 101 nucleotides. RefSeq lists it as uncharacterized. The record is from RefSeq and is a predicted model, not a curated record. NCBI's taxonomy places the organism in Eukaryota, Metazoa, Arthropoda, Insecta, Lepidoptera, Nymphalidae. The transcript has 3 exons.
UUCUAUACGCAUCCUCCCCAACACAGGGAGGAACGAUCCGCGACUGUGAAGUUUGGUUCAUGGUAGCUUUGGCAGAUAACAGUUAGUAAAGUAGAGCUAUA